This 454-nucleotide ribosomal RNA is filed under the name uncultured bacterium. RNAcentral's name for it is "bacterial SSU rRNA". It matches the Rfam family "Bacterial small subunit ribosomal RNA", at positions 340 to 786 of the family's 1533-position model. The record is from RNAcentral.
UACGGAAGGCAGCAGGGGGAAUAUUGCACAAUGGGCGAAAGCCUGAUGCAGCUAUGCCGCGUGUAUGAAGAAGGCCUUAGGGUUGUAAAGUACUUUCAUCGGGGAGGAAAAAACAAAACUAAUAAUUUUAUUUCUUGACGUUACCCGAAAAAGAAGCACCGGCUAACUCCGUGCCAGCAGCCGCGGUAAUACGGAGGGUGCUAGCGUUAAUCAGAAUUACUGGGCGUAAAGAGCACGUAGGUGGUUUUUUUAAAGUCAGAUGUGAAAUCCCUGGGCUUAACCUGGAACUGCAUUUUGAAACUGAAAUACUAGAGUAUCGUAGAGGGAGGUAGAAUUCUAGGUGUAGCGGUGAAAUGCGUAGAUAUCUGGAGGAAUACCUGUGGCGAAGGCGGCCUCCUAACGAAUCUGACACUGAGGGUGCGAAAGCGUGGGGAGCAAACAGGGAUUAGAUACC